Molecule: long non-coding RNA, 4127 nt
Filed under: Varroa destructor (honeybee mite)
Lineage: Eukaryota; Metazoa; Arthropoda; Arachnida; Mesostigmata; Varroidae
Description: uncharacterized LOC111252237
Source: RNAcentral
GUCUCUGCUUCUCUCGCACGACAAACCGCGCCGGCGGCGGCGGCGGCAUUCACGUUCAAGGGCUUAAGCGUAAACCGCUGAUUAGUUGAAAACGCCAGGUGGCAGCAACAGCAAGACUACACGGAGGUACGACCAGACGACUGCAACGGCGAAGUGCCUAGUAUCUUUGUCGUCUGUGAGAACGCAACAAAGCAGAGAAAAGCAAAAGGAAAUAAAAUGAAUCCUUCGACGAGGAUGAUCUCGAUCCGUUACGGCAACUCAGUGCUCAAUAACGUUGACGCUGCGCGCAAGCUCACACAGUCACAGAUGGAGCUGCCGCGACGCGAGAACCUGAAUGCCAGCUUCAACUCUGAAUGGGACGACUUCAUUGAUGACUUCCCUGCCGCUGAAAUUUACUUGCACACGGAUUUUGUCGACCGCGUAUUUCCUACCUUCAAGGAUUGUGUACUAGCCAAGGAAUACGCGGAUAGCGAAAGUGCGUUCGAUGCCAGCUCGGACGAUGGCAUCCAGAGCCCGAAGCCGCAAGGAACGCUAAAGGAUGAAUCGUACCCGGUUGUAUGCAAGGUUGAUCCGAAAAACUUCAGUUCAAAGUCGGCACCUACUUCUCGCGUCCCAUAAACAACGCUUACACGUGUAAAGCUGUCGUCGAGAGACAUCCGGAAGACGUCCAAGAGACAAAAUAACAGAUAGCAACAAUGAAAAUAUAAAUCGCAGAAAAGACACAAAGUUCACUAUGAAUCCUGAUCUAGUUAGUUAGCCUGAGUCAACUAUGAUUCGAGUGAUUCUGUAUUAUGUAAUGGUUUGCAUAGCGUGUAAAAUGCGUACAUUAUUUCAGCAUACCCUAGGCUUACUUAUCUGUGGUUGAAUAAGCCUUCGAUAACCUGCUUGAUGCUUUGAAAGGCUGUUCACUUAUCAUCUCCAUCUUAGGAACAAUCCUAAUACAUGGAAAAGAAGCGGAGAAGUUCACCUAAGUAAUGAAUAUUCUAUUAGGACAACUCAAUGGCGUAACAGUUUUCUAGAAUAAUGGCGCAUCCGCGAACAGAAUUGCCCUAUAACUUCUGCAGGCCUUCAUUGUUAUUCUCACUUUGCACCGAUUUUGGACAUGUCUGCCGAACGGUGUCUCUGAAGUAUUAGGCGUCUUGCGCCCAGACGAGUUCCGAUUGUGAUAGAUCAUACAUAUUCAAUACGCAAGCCACUUUGAUAGAUACGCAUCAUUGAUAAUGCAUGCACAUACCGCUGUUCCUUCCGUCCAUAUCAAUCUAUUUGUUUAUGUCGUCCAUUUGAGUAGGCACCAUCCUGGCUUUUCCUCCGCUACCGGUGCACGUGCUACGGACCUAUGUACUUCGUAAUUACAUUGUGUACACGUUUGAACAUACACGUUGAAUACUAACACGUACCCAUGCCUCGCUGAAGCCUCCAGCUAUCAAUAUAUGCAUAUAUUUCAUGUACAAACCACAGGCAGGUCAAAAGAUGUAUAAGGCGAAACACGUACGAGAGCUACGUUGACAUUGCUAUUGAUAUAUUACUAAUGCCAUAUAUCAAAUAUAUGAUACGAAAUAGACGAUGGGAAGGUCAAUAACAAUGUAGAGUUGAAAAAUAGAAACCGUGAACUAAACGGACCCUAUCUAGCGUGAACAAUAAAGAAAGUUGCUACAAUUGGUUCCGUGUCUAUGUACAAAAUAUAUAUAACUAGUUUUUCUGAUGUAGACUUAAACAGCCCACACUUCUUUACCCGUUAUAAAACAAGUUCAUUUUUUUGUUGAAAUUACGAGUCUUUGGUAAGUUCUAACACGACGUAUAGCGGUUUUGAAGAUAACUUUCUUUUUUGUGCAAAUUUAGAUUUAGGUAAGGACAUGUACUUUGAAAUAAAAAAGAACGAAGUAAAUAAUUUUAAAGAAUAUGCUUCUAUCAACAACGAAUGCUGGUGGUUACCCUCCAAAUGUGCGAAACUCGAGUUAAGCUUUGGUUCUGCAAAUCUCUGAGACAUAACGUUAUGAAACUUAUCAGGAAUUACUGAUUGAAAAAAGACGAGAUAUAUUUAAAAUCUGAGUACUGUAUAACGAAAUCACUGGGUUGUUGGAAAUGGAUAGCAGAGUUAGGAUUGUGAAUUUGAAACAUUACGAAUAUGUUGUCUGAUGUUUUGCGAUUGUUUCGUCCAAUUUUGGGUUCUUUUCUCACUGACUAUGAAUACUCUGCGUGAGAACAAAUGCGCUUGAAGUACCAGAUGAAAGAAAUCUUUGUUAGUUGGAACGCACUAAUGAGCGCACUAAUAAGAGAUAACUACUUGGCUUCUUUUUGAUGUUCUCCAUGAAGUGAUCAUAAAAGAGGCCUGAAAUUUCCUUGAAGACUCGAAAGGAUAGUUGUACGCCAAUGCAUUUUUGGAGUUUUCUUAUAUUUUUUUACGGAAAUCGUGUCUUACAAGGAUGACGCUUGCACUCCGUUUGCCCAGUUUUUCAACGCUGGAGGCACCAAGCCGGAAGUGCAAAUUUUGACUUGUGCGCGCACGGUGAAAUCGCUUUCGCAGGGGAUAGACCAUGUGCAAUAGGCGUAAUCCUGGAAAGAAAAUAGUGAUACAGCAUAAAUCCAAACAAAAGCUGACGGUUUUUUUUUUUUAUAUAUAUACGUAUAAAUGUUUUAUAUAAAUAUUUAAUGACAUAUUCAAUCGUAGCGAAUCAUAAGUAUACUACUAAAUUCAAUACUUUAAUAGAGAUAUCCUUAUAUUAUUUUUAAUCGAAGUACUUUUAUUUAGUGGCAUGACGUGUUGAAAUGGCAUUGAUAUAUAUAUAUAUAUCAGUACCACUAUAAUACCAUAUGUAUAUAUAUUCGUGAUGAGAGACACAAUGCGGUUUAUAAAUCUAAGAAUCUCUACUAUCAAACACGUGCUCAUAAUGUGAUAUUACAUGAGAUUAAUUUAAAUCUACUAUUCGUAAACUACUAUUCGUUAACGCGCGGCUCGGCACCUCAGACAGUGUCAUAAUCCGUACAACAGCAACAUUCAGAUCGUAGUAAGGAAUAUUAGGCCAUUUUCUUAAAUUGGCCUGAUCAACACUGAUCUUAUGGAUUUUCUUUGGAAUUUUCACUAUAUUCGAUGUAGAAGACACCAAUAACUGCAUCAAUGACCCAGAACCGCCUAAUCAUAUUAGUAUGUGCCGUAUAACAUCCAUUUGUGCAUCGUGACAAUCUUGCUUAGGUAGAUAAUUUGUCGAAUUGCUAAGUGGAUCUGAUAAGAGUGUACACGUAUCAAAAAUUAGUUAAAAUGUCGAAUUAUCUUGGUAACAAUACACCCUGUUCUCUAUAGAUACAAGAGGCAGCGAGCAAAACUAAAACAGGAUUAAACGGCCAGUAGUUGUGAUUUGGAUGUCUGCUAAUCUAGCGGCGCUGUGCACGACAAGACCGGCAUUCUCCCUCUCUGUCUCCGAUCGUGAUUAACUAUAAGUGUAUAAAUACAAUGGCGGCGAUGAUGAUUGUAUGGAUCACUGAUUCGUCUGCCUCUCGCCGUGAGCUCUUAAAGCAGCAACAUUACAGCAUUACCUUUCACCGUUUGUGUAUAUUUGGGCUCAGUGCAUGCAAUGAGAAGGGAGAGACUCAUGCAAUUGUGACGUAUGGUUACUUCCGACGGCCUGGAUCAAAAACAAGUCAAAACUACCAGCUAAUAACAUAUUGGCAGCGUUUUGACCGUAUGCAUUGUAGUAUCUGUCCAUGGUAGCGCCUAGUAAAAAUGCCGCUGAUGGUACUCGAUCGUCGACUUCACGACAGCCGGACUCUUCAUGGAUCCAUGGGUGUAACUAAAAUAUAUCUAGUACAUGCAUCAUUGCUUUUCCCUGACAGCACAGAAGGGUUACAGGCUGAUGGUGGUUCUUGCUUCUCGACUGUAUUACUAAUAUAACAAAAUGAAGCUGCUUUUUGACUUUUCACAUUUACAAAUAGCAAGCUCUGUAUUCUACCUCUAUUGUGAUAGAAGUAAGGUAAAUUUCGCGAGUAGAUAUUAUUUGGUAAACAGUAAUUAAAACUUAUCUCCAUUUGUAAACGGUAGAAUGAAUACAACUACUAUAACUGUUACACAUGUAUUACAGAGAAUGUAAAAAACAUAUUCGACAUAAACAGGACGUAAAUGUCAGCAAAAACCA